GCCAUCUUAGUUCAUUUAGAAUAUUUAGUUUGCAUCUAAAAGGAAGCCAUGCUAGAUGACA
This 61-nucleotide transfer RNA is filed under the name Diopatra cuprea. RNAcentral's name for it is "tRNA-Ala". Lineage: Eukaryota; Metazoa; Annelida; Polychaeta; Eunicida; Onuphidae. The record is from RNAcentral.